Non-coding RNA from Python bivittatus (Burmese python), 585 nucleotides. The record is from RefSeq and is a predicted model, not a curated record. NCBI's taxonomy places the organism in Eukaryota, Metazoa, Chordata, Lepidosauria, Squamata, Pythonidae.
ACCGGAGACAACGUGACCGCGUUCGUUUCUGACGGAGGGGUGAAUUUUGUUCUCCUUUUUCUUGCCUGGCGUUGGUUCUUUGCGGAAUAGAAAUGUCGUUCACGGUUACUAUAUAGGCGAUCAUCAAACGCCCUUUUAUAAAUUGGGCUAUGCUCUGGGAAAGAUUUGGUAACCCAUUAUGGACCUUUAGUACAACAUUGUAGUGGACAGGCAAGAAAAUUAUCUGAUCCCAUCUACGGUGCCCCAGAUACAGCACAAGAAGAAAAGCUAAUGGGAUUAGUGUACCACCCACAAGGACAACAGUGCAGCAGAUGUAUAUUUUCAUUACUAAUUUGCGAUGGCUUGUAAUGCCAGUAGAAGUAGACUUAACAGGAUAUUAUGCUGUACUGUUUUCUAGCCAUAAAAUGCUGUACUGUCUUCAAGCCAUAAAACAUGAUCUUUGCAUUCUGAAAGCAAGAGAUUUUCCAAUGAUGAAAACCCAUUAAUUCUCCCUGCUUCAGUUUGGCCACUACCAAAGAUACUAACGAAUGAAUGUAAGGAUAUGAGACAGCUUGGUUUGGAUACUGGAAAAUGGAAAGGAGCAGC